UAUUAAAUGCAAUCAACAAAAAUCUUGAUCAAACUAAAUCUCAACUGCUUUAUGCACUUACUUAGUUCACAAUAAUAAUAACGCAUGUCCCGCUAUAUGUGUGCAUGUAUGUACAUAUGUAUGCAUGUGUGCGUGCGUAUGUGAAUGUGCAAGGUGAAUGCAAAAGUCUAUAUGCACGGCGCACCAAUUACCGUUAGAAAUGUUAACCCAAUAUUCUUGUUAUUGCUCUGCCUGAUUUUCUUGUUGUUGUUACUGUUGUUGUCGUUCGGUGCCUAAGUGUGGGCACAUAAAACCGGAGAGCCAUGACACAGCUACAGCCGCGGCGUACGAAUUGCCACCAUCGAGCAUGCGUGCCACACUCACCGUCAUAAAACUGAGGUCAAUAUCGUCAGUGGCAACGGAGCAAAUAGAAAUAUGAAUAACUGUUUAUGAGAAGUAUACGGAAAGGAAAAAAAAAACAACAAAUAAAUAAAGACGCAAAAAAUGCGCACUGCUUUUGUGUAAAAGAGACGACAUAGGGUACUAUCACAAAAUGCGAAUAUAAAAACAGAAAACAUCCAACAGC
Drosophila arizonae is the source of this 565-nucleotide long non-coding RNA. NCBI's taxonomy places the organism in Eukaryota, Metazoa, Arthropoda, Insecta, Diptera, Drosophilidae. The record is from RefSeq and is a predicted model, not a curated record.